AUUGAACGCUGGCGGCAGGCCUAACACAUGCAAGUCGAGCGGAGGAAGGGAGCUUGCUCCUGGAUUCAGCGGCGGACGGGUGAGUAAUGCCUAGGAAUCUGCCUGGUAGUGGGGGAUAACGUCCGGAAACGGGCGCUAAUACCGCAUACGUCCUGAGGGAGAAAGUGGGGGAUCUUCGGACCUCACGCUAUCAGAUGAGCCUAGGUCGGAUUAGCUAGUUGGUGGGGUAAAGGCCUACCAAGGCGACGAUCCGUAACUGGUCUGAGAGGAUGAUCAGUCACAAUGGAACUGAGACACGGUCCAGACUCCUACGGGAGGCAGCAGUGGGGAAUAGUGGACACUGGGCGAAAGCCUGCUCCAGCCAUGCCGCGUGUGUGAAGAAGGUCUUCGGAUUGUAAAGCACUUUAAGUGGGGAGGAAGGGCAGUAAGUUAAUACCUUGCUGUUUUGACGUUACCAACAGAAUAAGCACCGGCUAACUUCGUG
Molecule: ribosomal RNA, 484 nt
Filed under: uncultured bacterium
Lineage: Bacteria
Description: partial 16S ribosomal RNA
Rfam family: Bacterial small subunit ribosomal RNA
Source: RNAcentral